GUUACCCCGUGGGGGAAGUUGAAAAGAACUUUGAAGAGAGAGUUCAAGAGUACGUGAAACCGCUCAGGGGUAAACGGAAAAGACCCGAAACACCGAAAAGGGAGAUUCACGUCUUCUCGCGGGUGCCGGCCCUCGGCCGGGGGAUGGCCUCGCGCCCCGUCCGGUUCGUCCGUGGCGGUGGGCGGGCUGCCCCCAUCGAGGUGUCCGGUCCCGCGGGGGACCGCACUUCUCCCCCAGUAGGACGUCGCGACCCGCUCUGCGGCGGUCUAACGGCCGGUAGAAAGCCUGCUCGGGGCCCUCCCUUCGGGGUUGUCUCCCGGGCAGAUCUCCGGACCCGCGGCCGCCGGUCCGGGCGGUAUGAACGACUGUAGCGAUGGGCCGCUCCUAGAGAGCGCCGACGUCUCCCCGCAAGCUCGGGUCGGGCUGUCGGGUCGUAUUCUCACGGGUACGCUCGGCGCCCGCCCGGACUGUUGGCGGGUGGGUACUCAGGCCGUUGUCCAUCACGCUCGUCGGCGGCGCUUCAGAUUCGGGCACUUAUCCGACCCGUCUUGAAACACGGAAAAGGGGAAGUCU
RNAcentral lists this ribosomal RNA (573 nucleotides) under Spilostethus hospes. Its description in RNAcentral is "eukaryotic LSU rRNA". Lineage: Eukaryota; Metazoa; Arthropoda; Insecta; Hemiptera; Lygaeidae. The record is from RNAcentral.